CCUACGGGUGGCAGCAGUAGGGAAUAUUGCACAAUGGGCGAAAGCCUGAUGGAGCAACGCCGCGUGGGUGAAGAAGGCCUUCGGAUUGUAAAACCCUGUUGUUAGAGAAGAAAGUGCGGGAGAGUAACUGUUCACGUUUUGACGGUAACUAACCAGAAAGCCACGGCUAACUACGUGCCAGCAGCCGCGGUAAUACGUAGGGGGCAAGCGUUAUCCGGAUUUAUUGGGCGUAAAGGGAACGCAGGCGGUCUGUUAAGUCUGAUGUGAAAGCCUUCGGCUUAACCGGGGAACUGCAUCUGAAACUGGGAGACUUGAGUGUAGGAGAGGGGAGUGGAACUCCAUGUGUAGCGGUGAAAUGCGUAGAUAUCUGGAAGAACACCAGUGGCGAAGGCGGCUCUCUGGACUGUAACUGACGCUGAGGUUCGAAAGCGUGGGUAGCAAACAGGAUUAGAUACCCCUGUAGUC
This 465-nucleotide ribosomal RNA is filed under the name uncultured bacterium. RNAcentral's name for it is "partial 16S ribosomal RNA". It matches the Rfam family "Bacterial small subunit ribosomal RNA", at positions 338 to 795 of the family's 1533-position model. The record is from RNAcentral.